Zingiber officinale is the source of this 156-nucleotide long non-coding RNA. RefSeq lists it as uncharacterized. The record is from RefSeq and is a predicted model, not a curated record. NCBI's taxonomy places the organism in Eukaryota, Viridiplantae, Streptophyta, Magnoliopsida, Zingiberales, Zingiberaceae. The transcript is spliced from 3 exons.
AAGCCAUCCUGAUCCUGCGUUGAAUCUUCAUCGUCGCUCUGGAAAAACAUAAUCAGGAAUUUCACUGGUAGCUAAGAUCUGUUAUUUUGGACAAUGAGUAGGCCUCAAGUGAGAUGGAAUGAAGACAACUUGUAUGAAAUUGAAGCCAAUAAACCA